RNAcentral lists this long non-coding RNA (1037 nucleotides) under Nicotiana tabacum (common tobacco). RNAcentral's name for it is "long non-coding RNA (NTAB_LNC007537)". Lineage: Eukaryota; Viridiplantae; Streptophyta; Magnoliopsida; Solanales; Solanaceae. The record is from RNAcentral.
UUACUAUUUCGAUAAGUUCGAAAUAACACCCUUUUAGGCCAAGGGCCUUCGCCAAAAAGAGAAGAGUUUGACGUCGAUCAAACGAUGACGAUUUACUAUUUCGAUAAGUUCGAAAAAACACCCUUUAAGGCCAAGGGCCUUCGUCAAAAAGAGAAGAGUUCGACCUCGAUCGAACGACGAUAGGUUUCUAUUUCGAUAAGUUCGAAAUAACACACUUAAAGGCCAAGGGCCUUCUCCGAAAAGAGAAGAGUUCGACCCCGAUUGAAUGACGACGGGUUACUAUUUUGAUAAAGUUCGAAAUAACACCCUUUAAGGCCAAGGGACUUCGCCAAAAAUAGAAAAGUUCGACCUCGAUCGAACGAUGACGGGUUACUAUUUCGAAAAGUUUGAAAUAACACCCUUUUAGGCCAAGGGCCUUCACCAAAAAGAGAAGAGUUUGACCUCGAUCAAAUGACGACGAGUUACUAUUUCGAUAAGUUCAAAAUAACACCCUUUAAGGCCAAGGCCCUUUGCCAAAAAGAGAAGAGUUCGACCUCGAUCGAACGACGAUGGUUUACUAUUUCGAUAAGUUCGAAAUAACACCCUUUAAGGCCAAGGGCCUUCGCCAAAAAGAGAAGAGUUCAACAUCGAUAUAACGACGACAGGUUACUAUUUUGAUAAAGUUCGAAAUAACACCCUUUAAUGCCUGGGGCCUACGCAAAAAAGAGAAGAGUUCGACCUCGAUCGAACGAUAACGGGGGACUAUUUUGAUAAGUUCGAAAUAACACACUUUUAAGGCCAAGGGCCUUCGUCAAAAAGAGAAGAGUUCGACAUCGAUCGAACGACGAUAGGUUACUAUUUCGAUAAGUUCGAAAUAACACACUUAAAGGCCAAGGGCCUUCUCCGAAAAGAGAAGAGUUCGACCUCGAUUGAACGACGAUGGGUUACUAUUUUGAUAAAGUUCAAAAUAACACCCUUUAAGGCCAAGGGACUUCGCCAAAAAUAGAAAAGUUCGACCUCGAUCGAAAGAUGACGGGCUACUAUUUCGAUAAGUUCGA